This 83-nucleotide transfer RNA is filed under the name Caenorhabditis japonica. RNAcentral describes it as "tRNA-Leu (TAA) (tRNA-Leu-TAA-1-1)". It matches the Rfam family "tRNA". From Rfam's summary of the family: Transfer RNA (tRNA) molecules are approximately 80 nucleotides in length. Their secondary structure includes four short double-helical elements and three loops (D, anti-codon, and T loops). Further hydrogen bonds mediate the characteristic L-shaped molecular structure. tRNAs have two regions of fundamental functional importance: the anti-codon, which is responsible for specific mRNA codon recognition, and the 3' end, to which the tRNAs corresponding amino acid is attached (by aminoacyl-tRNA synthetases). tRNAs cope with the degeneracy of the genetic code in two manners: having more than one tRNA (with a specific anti-codon) for a particular amino acid; and 'wobble' base-pairing, i.e. permitting non-standard base-pairing at the 3rd anti-codon position. The record is from Rfam by way of RNAcentral. Lineage: Eukaryota; Metazoa; Nematoda; Chromadorea; Rhabditida; Rhabditidae.
AGCACGAUGGCCGAGUGGUUAAGGCGUUGGACUUAAGUUCCAAUGGAUGAAAAUCCGCGUGGGUUCGAACCCCACUCGUGCUA